CUCCGCGCGGCCCCACCCCCGCGGCGCGCGCCUGCCUGAGCCUGCCACGGCGCAGGCGCCGCCCAAGCCCCCGCCCUGGGGCGUGUCUCCGAGUCCACGCGCGGCCGGCCGCCCGACCACGCCUGCGAGGGGCGGGGCGAGCUGGCCGCGCUGCGCGGUCACGUGACGCCCCCGCGCCGCUUGUUCCCGCCCGGCGGCCUCGCCCUCUUCCCGCGGACCCGUGAGCUCCCGCCACGCGGAUGUGCGCGCCCAACGCAAAGUUACUCGUGUUUCCCGCACUGAGCUGAAACGGCAGAGCCCCGACAGUUUUCGCGGCUUCCGUCGGACUGCAUCGCUUAUGUUCAUUGAGUGUAAGCGACUCAACACAGAAUUGAUCAUUUGAAACCACCCAGAAGUCCAUCGACAGCCUGUCACGCAUGGACAUAUUGCAGAGAAUCCUAGGGCAGAACAUUACACAGCAGUGGAAAUGGACGAGCCAUAGUCACACUCGGCGGGGAUGGAUCUCUCAGCGUGAUGCUGGGAAGAGGCAGCACACAAAUAAUUACGCGUGGUUUACUUCUGGUUAUAGAAAGGUCCCGGGCAGGCAAGAUGAAGGAUGGCAUUUGGGGCUGUAAGCCAGAGAAGUGGUGGCGAUCUGCAUGGGGAGGGCAGGGGUAGUGGUUACCUACACGAUCAUUUUAUUGAUCCAACCGGUAAUUUAUGUUUGGUGCACCUUUUCAUGUGUAUGUUAUGUUUCAAAAUGAAAAAAUAAAAAAGAGAAAGUCA
Long non-coding RNA from Felis catus (domestic cat), 765 nucleotides. RefSeq lists it as uncharacterized. The transcript is spliced from 2 exons. NCBI's taxonomy places the organism in Eukaryota, Metazoa, Chordata, Mammalia, Carnivora, Felidae. The record is from RefSeq and is a predicted model, not a curated record.